GAAGCGGCGCUCAAGAUGCUGCGCCGCGAGGCCCGCCUGCGCCGCGAGUACCUGUACCGCAAGGCCCGGGAGGAGGCGCAGCGCUCAGCCCAGGAGAGGAAGGAGGGCUGAGGCACGCGCUCGAAGAAAACCGCCUGAUUCCCACUGAGUUACGCCGAGAGGCUCUGGCCUUACAGGGGUCCCUGGAGUUUGAUGAUGCAGGAGGUGAAGGUGUGACCAGCCACGUGGAUGAUGAAUACUGACGGGCAGGAGUCGAGGAUCCCAAGGUUAUCAUCACUACCUCCCGAGACCCCAGUUCCCGCCUCAAGAUGUUUGCAAAGGAGCUGAAGCUGGUGUUCCCAGGCGCCCAGCGAAUGAACCGAGGUUGACAUGAAGUGGGGGCACUGGUGCGAGCCUGCAAAGCCAACGGUGUCACCGAUCUGCUGGUUGUUCAUGAGCAUCGGGGCACACCUGUGGGGCUCAUCGUCAGCCACCUGCCCUUUGGCCCUACUGCCUACUUCACGCUGUGCAACGUGGUCAUGCGGCAUGACAUCCCAGACCUGGGCACCAUGUCGGAGGCCAAGCCCCACCUCAUCACACAUGGCUUCUCUUCCCGCCUGGGCAAGCAGAUCUCUGACAUCCUCCGAUACCUAUUUCCCGUGCCCAAAGAUGACAGCCACCGGGUCAUCACCUUCGCAAACCAGGACGACUACAUAUCAUUCCGGCACCACGUGUACAAGAAGAUAGACCACCGCAACGUGGAGCUCACUGAGGUCGGGCCCCGCUUUGAGCUGAAGCUGUACAUGAUCCGCCUGGGCACGCUGGAGCAGGAGGCCACAGCAGACGUGGAGUGGCGCUGGCACCCUUACACCAAUACCGCACGCAAGAGGGUCUUCCUGAGCGCCGAGUGAGCCCACUCACCACUCAGUCAGGACGAGGACUUGGAACUCAGGAUGGGGCUGUCACAGACAGGCCUGCCGAGCUGGGAUGUGGAACUGUGGUGGGUGGAGAGGUCUGAAUAAACCAUCUGUGUCACGGC
Molecule: RNA transcript, 1018 nt
Organism: Rhinopithecus roxellana (golden snub-nosed monkey)
Lineage: Eukaryota; Metazoa; Chordata; Mammalia; Primates; Cercopithecidae
Gene name: U3 small nucleolar ribonucleoprotein protein IMP4-like
Exons: 9
Source: RefSeq, a predicted model, not a curated record